Molecule: non-coding RNA, 73 nt
Organism: Trichonephila clavata
Lineage: Eukaryota; Metazoa; Arthropoda; Arachnida; Araneae; Nephilidae
Source: the annotation of a GenBank genome assembly
AUCCCUGUAGCACAAUGGAUAGCGCGUUGGACUUCUAAUCCAAAGGACGUAGGUUCAAUUACCACCUGGGAUG